Molecule: ribosomal RNA, 252 nt
Filed under: uncultured bacterium
Lineage: Bacteria
Description: partial 16S ribosomal RNA
Rfam family: Bacterial small subunit ribosomal RNA
Source: RNAcentral
UACGUAGGGAGCAAGCGUUGUCCGGAAUUACUGGGUGUAAAGGGAGCGUAGGCGGGAUAGUAAGUUGAUUGUUAAAACUAUCGGCUCAACUGAUAGAUGCGAUCAAAACUGCAAUUCUUGAGUGAAGUAGAGGCAGGCGGAAUUCCUAGUGUAGCGGUGAAAUGCGUAGAUAUUAGGAGGAACACCAGUGGCGAAGGCGGCCUGCUGGGCUUUAACUGACGCUGAGGCUCGAAAGUGUGGGUAGCAAACAGG